Molecule: long non-coding RNA, 824 nt
Filed under: Monodelphis domestica (gray short-tailed opossum)
Lineage: Eukaryota; Metazoa; Chordata; Mammalia; Didelphimorphia; Didelphidae
Description: lncRNA (ENSMODG00000037433.1)
Source: RNAcentral
GCAAAAGGAAGCUACUGGAGUUUACUGAAUGGGGGGUGAUGCGAUUAGAUCUGUACUUUAGGAAAACCACUUUUCAAUGACUGAAUGGAGGACAAAUUAAAGUAGGAAGAGACUUGAGAUGAGAAAGCUAUACCAGGACUGAUAGAUGCUACUGUGCCAAAAAAAAACAAAACAAAACAAAAAAACCCCAAAAAAACAACUAACUAAUAAAAAUCACAAACUUUUCACAUGGUCCAAAGAAAAUGUCUGGCAGGAAAACAUGUUAUGAGAAAAAUCCCUAAACAAGGAAGAUAAGAAACCCACAAAGAACAUUUUUUAGCUCUAUUGGGAGGCAAAUCAUGAUCCAAGAAAGAAUAAGACCUUGAAUUGGUGAAUAUGGGAUGAUCAAAACUGACAACAGAGGAAAGACACAGUUGCUCAAUUCUUUUAUUUCUGUUUUCUCUGCCAAGAAGAAUAUGACCAUUACACUGUAAAUGACAGAACAAGAAUGACCAAUAAGAAAUGGAAGAUUAAGGGGCUGGAACCUGUUACACAUAGCCAGUCAGAAUCAUAUAUACAAGAACUCCACCUGAGCCUGGAAAAGACAGAGACUAAAAUUGGGAGGCAGGAUUUGCUUGUUGAUGGAAUCAUGAAUAGAGAUAUGAAUAUAGAAAUUCAAAGUAAAAAUCUACAGAAAUUAAGAAAAGAAAUCUUCAGUCAUCAAGCCAAUGGAGAGAGCAGGAUACAAGAUUUUCUGGUUGGGUCAGUAUUCUGGAUUUGCUAAAUGGGAGCAGAAUCUGAAAUGAGAGCCAAAGUAUCAGGACAGUCACAAGAUCAGGGGAAAG